CCUGAACGCUGGCGGCGUGGCUAAGACAUGCAAGUCGCACGGUGUAGCAAUACACAGUGGCGAACGGGUGAGUAAUGAAUCGCUAAUGUACCCCGGACUCUGGGAUAGCUAGCCGAAAGGUUAGGUAAUACCAGAUGAUAUAUCUUUAUCGCAUGAUAGAGAUCUCAAAGGUCCGCCGGUCUGGGAGCAGGCGAUUUCGUAUCAGCUAGUUGGUGAGGUAACGGCUCACCAAGGCGACGACGCGUAGCCGGACUGAGAGGUUGGCCGGCCACAUUGGGACUGAGACACUGCCCAGACUCCUACGGGGGGCUGCAGUAACGAAUCUUCCGCAAUGCACGAAAGUGUGACGGAGCGACGCCGCGUGUGGGACGAAGCCCUUCGGGGUGGUAACCAACUGUCAGGGGAUAGAAAGUUCUGAUCACUCCCCAGAGGAAGGC
This 437-nucleotide ribosomal RNA is filed under the name uncultured bacterium. RNAcentral describes it as "bacterial SSU rRNA". It matches the Rfam family "Bacterial small subunit ribosomal RNA", at positions 30 to 492 of the family's 1533-position model. The record is from RNAcentral.